AGAGCGAACGCUGGCGGCAGGCCUAACACAUGCAAGUCGAGCGCCCGUAGCAAUACGGGAGCGGCAGACGGGAUAGUAACACGUGGGAACGCGCCCUUCGGUUCGGAAUAACUCAGGGAAACUUGAGCUAAUACCGGAUACGCCCUUACGGGGAAAGAUUUAUUGCCGAAGGAACGGCCCGCGUCCGAUUAGCUAGUUGGUGAGGUAAUGGCUCACCAAGGCGACGAUCGGUAGCUGGUCUGAGAGGAUGACCAGCAUCACUGGGACUGAGACACGGCCCAGACUCCUACGGGAGGCAGCAGUGGGGAAUAUUGGACAAUGGGCGCAAGCCUGAUCCAGCCAUGCCGCGUGGAUGAUGAAGGCCUUAGGGUUGUAAAGUCCUUUUAACGGGGAAGUAUAAUGACGGUACCGUAGAAUAAGCCCGGCUAACUUCGUGCCAGCAGCCGC
Molecule: ribosomal RNA, 447 nt
Filed under: uncultured bacterium
Lineage: Bacteria
Description: SSU rRNA
Rfam family: Bacterial small subunit ribosomal RNA
Source: RNAcentral